GACGAACCGUGCAAACGUUGUUCGGAAUCACUGGGCUUAAAGGGCGCGUAGGCGGGCAGGCAAGUCGAAGGUGAAAUCCCACGGCUCAACCGUGGAAGUGCCCCCGAUACUGCCUGUCUCGAGGGAGAUAGGGGCGUGCGGAACUUCCGGUGGAGCGGUGAAAUGCGUAGAUAUCGGGAGGAACACCGGUGGCGAAAGCGGCGCGCUGGAUCUCUUCUGACGCUGAUGCGCGAAAGCCAGGGGAGCAAACGGG
This 253-nucleotide ribosomal RNA is filed under the name uncultured bacterium. RNAcentral describes it as "partial 16S ribosomal RNA". It matches the Rfam family "Bacterial small subunit ribosomal RNA", at positions 524 to 776 of the family's 1533-position model. The record is from RNAcentral.